UACGUAGGGUGCGAGCGUUGUCCGGAAUUAUUGGGCGUAAAGAGCUCGUAGGCGGUGUGUCACGUCGGCCGUGAAAACCUGCAGCUUAACUGUGGGCGUGCGGUCGAUACGGGCAUCACUGGAGUUCGGCAGGGGAGACUGGAAUUCCUGGUGUAGCGGUGAAAUGCGCAGAUAUCAGGAGGAACACCAGUGGCGAAGGCGGUGCUCUGGGCCGGAACUGACGCUGAGGAGCGAAAGCGUGGGGAGCAAACAGG
RNAcentral lists this ribosomal RNA (254 nucleotides) under uncultured bacterium. RNAcentral's name for it is "partial 16S ribosomal RNA". It matches the Rfam family "Bacterial small subunit ribosomal RNA", at positions 524 to 776 of the family's 1533-position model. The record is from RNAcentral.